This 482-nucleotide ribosomal RNA is filed under the name uncultured bacterium. Its description in RNAcentral is "partial 16S ribosomal RNA". It matches the Rfam family "Bacterial small subunit ribosomal RNA", at positions 30 to 507 of the family's 1533-position model. The record is from RNAcentral.
AUUGAACGCUGGCGGCAUGCCUUACACAUGCAAGUCGAACGGUAACGGACCAUGGGGUGCCUCCGACUGGCGGACGGGUGCGUACUACUUCGGAACAUGCCCGAAUGUGCGGUUUCACGGGGCGUAACCUUUGCUAAUACCCCCUACUAUCUAAUGCUGCCAGCGGGUGAAAGCAAGGCCUUUCGCGACCGUGCCGGAUGAUGGCAGAUUAGGUAGUUGGAGGGAUAAAGGCUUACCAAGGCGACGAUCUGUAGCUGGUCUGAGAGGAUGAUCAGCCACACUGGGACUGAGACACGGUCCAGACUCCUACGGGAGGCAGCAGUGGGGAAUUUUGGACAAUGGGCGCAAGCCUGAUCCAGCCAUGCCGCGUGCAUGAUGAAGGCCUUCGGGUUGUAAACUGCUUUUGUACGGAAAGAAAAGCCGUCGUUUAAUACAGGAGGGUUAUGACGGUACCGUAAGAAUAAGCACCGGCUAACUUCGUG